GCAUCCUUCGGGGUGAGUGGCAGACGGGUGAGUAACGCGUGGGAACGUGCCCUUCAGUUCGGAAUAACCCAGGGAAACUUGGGCUAAUACCGGAUACGUGCGAGAGCAGAAAGAUUUAUCGCUGAAGGAUCGGCCCGCGUCUGAUUAGCUAGUUGGUAGGGUAAUGGCCUACCAAGGCGACGAUCAGUAGCUGGUCUGAGAGGAUGAUCAGCCACAUUGGGACUGAGACACGGCCCAAACUCCUACGGGAGGCAGCAGUGGGGAAUAUUGGACAAUGGGCGCAAGCCUGAUCCAGCCAUGCCGCGUGAGUGAUGAAGGCCUUAGGGUUGUAAAGCUCUUUCAGUGGGGACGAUAAUGACGGUACCCGCAGAAGAAGCCCCGGCUAACUUCGUGCCAGCAGCCGCGGUAAUACGAAGGGGGCUAGCGUUGUUCGGAAUCACUGGGCGUAAAGGGCGCGUAGGCGGCUUUGUAAGUCGGGGGUGAAAGCCUGUGGCUCAACCACAGAAUUGCCUUCGAUACUGCAUGGCUUGAGACCGGAAGAGGUUAGUGGAACUGCGAGUGUAGAGGUGAAAUUCGUAGAUAUUCGCAAGAACACCAGUGGCGAAGGCGGCUGACUGGUCCGGUUCUGACGCUGAGGCGCGAAAGCGUGGGGAGCAAACAGGAUUAGAUACCCUGGUAGUCCACGCCGUAAACGAUGAAUGCCAGCCGUUGGCGAGCUUGCUCGUCAGUGGCGCAGCUAACGCUUU
RNAcentral lists this ribosomal RNA (746 nucleotides) under Microvirga sp. RNAcentral describes it as "bacterial SSU rRNA". It matches the Rfam family "Bacterial small subunit ribosomal RNA", at positions 79 to 861 of the family's 1533-position model. The record is from RNAcentral. Lineage: Bacteria; Pseudomonadati; Pseudomonadota; Alphaproteobacteria; Hyphomicrobiales; Methylobacteriaceae.